GACGAACGCUGGCGGCGUGCUUAACACAUGCAAGUCGAACGGUAAGGCCCUUCGGGGUACACGAGUGGCGAACGGGUGAGUAACACGUGGGUGAUCUGCCCUGCACUUCGGGAUAAGCCUGGGAAACUGGGUCUAAUUCCGGAUAGGACUCCUGGCUUCAUGGUUGGGGGUGGAAAGCUUUUGCGGUGUGGGAUGGGCCCGCGGCCUAUCAGCUUGUUGGUGGGGUAAGGGCCUACCAAGGCGACGACAGGUAGCCGGCCUGAGAGGGUGACCGGUCACACUGGGACUGAGAUACGGCCCAGACUCCUACGGGAGGCAGCAGUGGGGAAUAUUGCACAAUGGGCGCAAGCCUGAUGCAGCGACGCCGCGUGAGGGAUGACGGCCUUCGGGUUGUAAACCUCUUUCAGCUAUGACGAAGCGCAAGUGACGGUAGUAGCAGAAGAAGGACCGGCCAACUACGUGCCAGCCGCCGCGGUAA
RNAcentral lists this ribosomal RNA (478 nucleotides) under uncultured bacterium. RNAcentral describes it as "partial 16S ribosomal RNA". It matches the Rfam family "Bacterial small subunit ribosomal RNA", at positions 28 to 523 of the family's 1533-position model. The record is from RNAcentral.